UACACGCAGUGGGAGCACAGGUUUACCUGUGUGACUGCGUACCUUUUGUAUAAUGGGUCAGCGACUUAUAUUCUGUAGCAAGGUUAACCGAAUAGGGGAGCCGGAGGGAAACCGAGUCUUAAUUGGGCGUUAAGUUGCAGGGUAUAGACCCGAAACCCGGUGAUCUAGCCAUGGGCAGGUUGAAGGUUGGGUAACACUAACUGGAGGACCGAACCGACUAAUGUUGAAAAAUUAGCGGAUGACCUGUGGCUGGGGGUGAAAGGCCAAUCAAACCGGGAGAUAGCUGGUUCUCCCCGAAAGCUAUUUAGGUAGCGCCUCGUGAAUUCAUCUCCGGGGGUAGAGCACUGUUUCGGCUAGGGGGCCAUCCCGGCUUACCAACCCGAUGCAAACUGCGAAUACCGGAGAAUGUUAUCACGGGAGACACACGGCGGGUGCUAACGUCCGUCGUGAAGAGGGAAACAACCCAGACCGCCAGCUAAGGUCCCAAAGUCAUGGUUAAGUGGGAAACGAUGUGGGAAGGCCCAGACAGCCAGGAUGUUGGCUUAGAAGCAGCCAUCAUUUAAAGAAAGCGUAAUAGCUCACUGGUCGAGUCGGCCUGCGCGGAAGAUGUAACGGGGCUAAACCAUGCACCGAAGCUGCGGCAGCGACACUGUGUGUUGUUGGGUAGGGGAGCGUUCUGUAAGCCUGCGAAGGUGGCCUGUGAGGGUUGCUGGAGGUAUCAGAAGUGCGAAUGCUGACAUAAGUAACGAUAAAGCGGGUGAAAAGCCCGCUCGCCGGAAGACCAAGGGUUCCUGUCCAACGUUAAUCGGGGCAGGGUGAGUCGACCCCUAAGGCGAGGCCGAAAGGCGUAGUCGAUGGGAAACGGGUUAAUAUUCCCGUACUUGGUGUUACUGCGAAGGGGGGACGGAGAAGGCUAUGUUGGCCGGGCGACGGUUGUCCCGGUUUAAGCGUGUAGGUGUGUGUUCCAGGUAAAUCCGGUUCACUUUAACACUGAGGCGUGACGACGAGGCACUACGGUGCUGAAGCAACAAAUGCCCUGCUUCCAGGAAAAGCCUCUAAGCAUCAGGUAACAUCAAAUCGUACCCCAAACCGACACAGGUGGUCAGGUAGAGAAUACCAAGGCGCUUGAGAGAACUCGGGUGAAGGAACUAGGCAAAAUGGUGCCGUAACUUCGGGAGAAGGCACGCUGACACGUAGGUGAAGUGAUUUACUCAUGGAGCUGAAGUCAGUCGAAGAUACCAGCUGGCUGCAACUGUUUAUUAAAAACACAGCACUGUGCAAACACGAAAGUGGACGUAUACGGUGUGACGCCUGCCCGGUGCCGGAAGGUUAAUUGAUGGGGUCAGCGCAAGCGAAGCUCCUGAUCGAAGCCCCGGUAAACGGCGGCCGUAACUAUAACGGUCCUAAGGUAGCGAAAUUCCUUGUCGGGUAAGUUCCGACCUGCACGAAUGGCGUAAUGAUGGCCAGGCUGUCUCCACCCGAGACUCAGUGAAAUUGAACUCGCUGUGAAGAUGCAGUGUACCCGCGGCAAGACGGAAAGACCCCGUGAACCUUUACUAUAGCUUGACACUGAACAUUGAGCCUUGAUGUGUAGGAUAGGUGGGAGGCUUUGAAGUGUGGACGCCAGUCUGCAUGGAGCCGACCUUGAAAUACCACCCUUUAAUGUUUGAUGUUCUAACGUGGACCCGUUACCCGGGUUGCGGACAGUGUCUGGUGGGUAGUUUGACUGGGGCGGUCUCCUCCUAAAGAGUAACGGAGGAGCACGAAGGUUGGCUAAUCCUGGUCGGACAUCAGGAGGUUAGUGCAAUGGCAUAAGCCAGCUUGACUGCGAGCGUGACGGCGCGAGCAGGUGCGAAAGCAGGUCAUAGUGAUCCGGUGGUUCUGAAUGGAAGGGCCAUCGCUCAACGGAUAAAAGGUACUCCGGGGAUAACAGGCUGAUACCGCCCAAGAGUUCAUAUCGACGGCGGUGUUUGGCACCUCGAUGUCGGCUCAUCACAUCCUGGGGCUGAAGUAGGUCCCAAGGGUAUGGCUGUUCGCCAUUUAAAGUGGUACGCGAGCUGGGUUUAGAACGUCGUGAGACAGUUCGGUCCCUAUCUGCCGUGGGCGCUGGAGAACUGAGGGGGGCUGCUCCUAGUACGAGAGGACCGGAGUGGACGCAUCACUGGUGUUCGGGUUGUCAUGCCAAUGGCACUGCCCGGUAGCUAAAUGCGGAAGAGAUAAGUGCUGAAAGCAUCUAAGCACGAAACUUGCCCCGAGAUGAGUUCUCCCUGAGACUUAGAGUCUCCUGAAGGAACGUUGAAGACGACGACGUUGAUAGGCCGGGUGUGUAAGCGCAGCGAUGCGUUGAGCUAACCGGUACUAAUGAACCGUGAGGCUUAACCUUACAACGCCGAAG
This 2395-nucleotide ribosomal RNA is filed under the name Salmonella enterica subsp. enterica serovar Enteritidis. RNAcentral's name for it is "bacterial LSU rRNA". It matches the Rfam family "Bacterial large subunit ribosomal RNA", at positions 565 to 2925 of the family's 2925-position model. Lineage: Bacteria; Pseudomonadati; Pseudomonadota; Gammaproteobacteria; Enterobacterales; Enterobacteriaceae. The record is from RNAcentral.